AGCACGGAGGGCGGGAAAAUGUGGCAGCGGCUGCGGGAGCUUCCCAGCCAUGUAAGGUUGCACUACUGGAAAAAAGAAGUAUAACACUAAAAGAAUAAUGUUUUGAUCUCUGCUAGAGAAUCUGAAUCCGCUGACAUAGUGAGGAGCCAUCUGGGCAUCAAGUUCUGCAGAGAGAAGAUUUAGCUGGAACAAGUCCCGGUGAUAUGCUUUACCAGUCAUUACUGAAUUGUGGCCAGUGACGGGCUGGCGGGUAAUUUCCUGCAUGUUGGGAUGGAGAAUAGGAAGUUCUGAGAAGCUGGGGACACACCAUUAAGGGUACCAGCAGGUGAGUACUGAGCAUUUUUACAUAUAAAAAUAUUUACUUGAACAUCAUCUUUAAGUAGGUUCAAAUAGAAAAAUAAAGUGGAGAAAACAACAAUCAGCAUCUUACAUGCUGAUAUUUAGUUGAUCUGCACUUGAAAAAGUUACUACACAUUUAUUAGAAGGGACACGCCUCUUAAAGGGGUUGUCCAGUAUUACAAAAAUGCUGCUUAUUUUUUAUGCAAAAACAGCACCACUCCUGUGCACACGGUGCAAAAACCACAUAGUACAUUGAUAAAUUCCCCUUAAAAUACACUAAAAAGAUUUGCGGAAGUUACCUUCAUAUGGAAUUUGUGUUUCCUUUAUGUUUAAAUAGAGAGAGAAAAUGUAAGCUAUUUUUCACAGAUUGUCAUACUGUAUAUUCAUAUCACCCACUCAUGACAUCAGUUUGGCUCAUCAUUCAUUGUCAGUGGAUUCACAUCCAAAAGCACUAAACGUUGCUUUAAAAUGAGUUUAUUACCCAAAACAAAACCAACCAAACAAUAAAUGACUGAAUAGAAGAAUUUAAUUGUGGGGUCAGUCCUAAGAUUUUCCUGUCACAUACAUAUUUUGAUCCAAUUGAGCAUGUGUUUGUUUACUUUGGCAAUAUACAGAAAAGAAACCUGUUACAGUUCAGAUUUUUGCUGCUGUAUUGUGUCACUUACACACCACUAAAAGAAUUGUAUUUUACAUGCAGCAGUGCUGAUGCCCGCUGUUGGCUUAAUUUUUAUCACCUAACCUUAACACAUAGGGAGGGAAGAAAUUAUAAAAAAUAGCUGAAAGAAAACACUGCUGCCUUUAGUGCAAACUCAACUGUGACUAUGUCUAAUAAAAUUAACAGACACAGCCCCAGAUUUUUGUU
Hyla sarda is the source of this 1201-nucleotide long non-coding RNA. RefSeq lists it as uncharacterized. The record is from RefSeq and is a predicted model, not a curated record. NCBI's taxonomy places the organism in Eukaryota, Metazoa, Chordata, Amphibia, Anura, Hylidae. The transcript is spliced from 4 exons.